This 31-nucleotide non-coding RNA is filed under the name Rattus norvegicus (Norway rat). The record is from RNAcentral. Lineage: Eukaryota; Metazoa; Chordata; Mammalia; Rodentia; Muridae.
UAAGAUGACCUAUGUGGAAGAGAUAUCCACU